UCGAGUUUUGAACGGGUUGUUGCUGGCCUCAUACGGGGCAUGUGCACGCCUGACUAUCAUCCACUCUUCAACCUCUGUGCACUUAUUGUAGGCUAGCGUGAAAGGUCGCAUUCAUUUGCGGCUGGAAGCCCUGUCUACGUUUUUACUACAAACGCUUCAGUUAUAGAAUGUUUAUCUGCGUAUAACGCAUUUAUAUA
RNAcentral lists this unclassified non-coding RNA (197 nucleotides) under soil metagenome. Its description in RNAcentral is "partial internal transcribed spacer 1". The record is from RNAcentral.